Molecule: ribosomal RNA, 254 nt
Filed under: uncultured bacterium
Lineage: Bacteria
Description: partial 16S ribosomal RNA
Rfam family: Bacterial small subunit ribosomal RNA
Source: RNAcentral
UACGAAGGGGGGCUAGCGUUGUUCGGAUUUACUGGGCGUAAAGCGCACGUAGGCGGUUUGUUAAGUCCGUUGUGAAAGCCCCGAGCUCAACUUGGGAAUUGCAGUGGAUACUGGCGAGCUGGAGUGCGGUAGAGGAAGGUGGAAUUCCCGGUGUAGCGGUGAAAUGCGUAGAGAUCGGGAGGAACACCAGUGGCGAAGGCGGCCCUCUGGACCAGCACUGACACUCAAGCACGAAAGCGUGGGGAGCAAACAGG